AAUUUUAAGUAGGACAAUUUUGAAAGAUUUGUCUUUAUUCAUAACAUUAAAAAUCUCUGAAAAACUCAAAAUUUGUAUUGAAGGAGGAUUUUGAAGGGUUAGACAAAUUGUUUAAAUAUAAUUUUUUUAUAGUAUUUCAAAAAUUAAAAAUAUAUUAGUGAUAAAUAUUAUUUUAUCAUUCUAAAUAAAACAAUUAAAAAAAAUUUUAAAAAAAAUGUUUUAAAAAAAUUAUUGGCUUAAAUGCACUAUUAGUAAGGGUAUUGCAAAAGUUAACUUUUA
RNAcentral lists this long non-coding RNA (279 nucleotides) under Lathyrus oleraceus (garden pea). RNAcentral's name for it is "Pisum sativum (pea) long non-coding RNA (PSAT_LNC019849)". The record is from RNAcentral. Lineage: Eukaryota; Viridiplantae; Streptophyta; Magnoliopsida; Fabales; Fabaceae.